This 175-nucleotide ribosomal RNA is filed under the name uncultured actinomycete GT24. RNAcentral describes it as "partial 16S ribosomal RNA". It matches the Rfam family "Bacterial small subunit ribosomal RNA", at positions 338 to 524 of the family's 1533-position model. Lineage: Bacteria; Bacillati; Actinomycetota; Actinomycetes; Actinomycetales. The record is from RNAcentral.
CCUACGGGAGGCAGCAGUGGGGAAUAUUGCACAAUGGGCGCAAGCCUGAUGCAGCGACGCCGCGUGAGGGAUGACGGCCCUUCGGGUUGUAAACCUCUUUCAGUAGGGACGAAGCGCAAGUGACGGUACCUAUAGAAGAAGGACCGGCCAACUACGUGCCAGCAGCCGCGGUAAU